CAAACCAAAAGGACGGUAACUGUUUUCAAACUGUAAUUAUGCGACACUCAAAGCAGAAUUUGGCAGAUUUGCCGACUUUGGGACUCAGAAAUUCCCCCAGAAGCCGAGAGUUUGCAUUUUCAAGCUGUGAAACAAGUGUGUGUGUGUG
This is a long non-coding RNA of Etheostoma spectabile (orangethroat darter), 148 nucleotides long. RefSeq lists it as uncharacterized. Lineage: Eukaryota; Metazoa; Chordata; Actinopteri; Perciformes; Percidae. The transcript is spliced from 3 exons. The record is from RefSeq and is a predicted model, not a curated record.